GUAGUCGUGGUCGAGUGGCUAAGGCGGUGGACCAGAAAUUCAUUGGGGACUCCCCGCACAGGUUCGAAUCCUGUCGACAAAG
RNAcentral lists this transfer RNA (82 nucleotides) under Ixodes scapularis (black-legged tick). It matches the Rfam family "tRNA". From Rfam's summary of the family: Transfer RNA (tRNA) molecules are approximately 80 nucleotides in length. Lineage: Eukaryota; Metazoa; Arthropoda; Arachnida; Ixodida; Ixodidae. The record is from Rfam by way of RNAcentral.